RNAcentral lists this long non-coding RNA (1239 nucleotides) under Anser cygnoides (Swan goose). RNAcentral's name for it is "lncRNA (ENSACDG00005004875.1)". Lineage: Eukaryota; Metazoa; Chordata; Aves; Anseriformes; Anatidae. The record is from RNAcentral.
AUGCGCCGAGCAUCCGGUGGGGUUCUGUCCAGCCGCACAAUAUCUUGUUUUUCUUCCAAAAUGUUUAUUUGGCCAAAUCAGAUCGUUCUGCCGUGGCGGAAAAGGCUGUUAUUCUGCUCUUUCGCCAACGCGGAGUUUUCGGCGGUGUUUUCGGUGCCCUCUGCCCUCGGCCGGGUUCGGCCGCCUGCCCCCCCUUCCCGCGGCGGCUGGGCUGUGGCCAGGGCUCCAACGCUUCCUACGGGAGGUGCUGGGGAAGGAGCUGGUGCUGGGGGGGUCACCACAGCUGCGGGGGGGGGGACAGUGACGACGGGGCUGCUCAGGGAUGCUGCAGCCCCAGGGAGCACCCCGGUCCUGGCAGCCCCAUCCUGGCAUCUCCCCAAAAUCUCGGCCCCAGCUGAAUUCCCGACGGGCAGCCCGGCCCCUGCUGCCUCUUGGCACAGAGCGGAGGGCACCAUGAGGCGGGCUCCGUCCCGGUUAAUGUUUCCUCUGCGGGAUGGAAAACAAGGUGGGAGCCACCACGGCGGUGCGGAGGGAGGACGAGGGGACGGUGGCGUGGCGAGGGGGGCUUUGUGCAAACAAGAUAAGGGGCGGGGGGGGCUGGAGGGGCGGGGGGCGAUGGCGGUCCCCAUUGUCCCCAGGGAUAGUCAAGCUGGGGGCACCUGGGGACAAGCCAAAAGCCAGCCCCGGGGCAGGUUCAAGCUGGACCCACUCCAACUCGAUCCAACCCCCCCAUCAGCCCCAUCCGUGACCCCAAUGUCACAACCGAGGGGACCCUCUGGGUGCGCAGCUGCUGGGUGGCCGUGCCGGCACGGCGCAGCGCUGCGCGAUGGCACCGUCAGGGCGUCCCCAGCGCCCCCGUCCCUGUCCCCGCUCACAAUGGGAGCUGCCGUUUCCCGCCACUUCCCCCCCAGCCCUUUUAUUCCCUCCCGCAGCCCCCCUUUUCCUUCCCCCUUGCCCGGCCGCCAGAUAAAAGCCUGGACGUGUGAAUCGCGGGGCACAAAGGCGACGCACAAAGGCGGCCGGCCGCGCGCAGCCCUCCUCGCUGCCCGCCCCGAGCAGGGGGAUGGAGACCUCGCGCCCAGCCCGGGGCUGUCCCGGUCCCACUGUCCCCUCCUGUCCCCUCUGUCCACACCGCCCUGGGGCCCAGGAGCUGCCGUGGGGAAUGCUUCUGGGAAAAGGGGUGUUCCAUGGGGUCAGGAUGAUGUCCCUGGGGCUGGGGUCAGGAUAUGGUCAGGAUAA